GUUGAGUCCAAUUAAACCGCAGGCUUCACCCCUUGUGGUGCUCCCCCGCCAAUUCCUUUAAGUUUCAUACUUGCGUACGUACUUCCCAGGCGGCAAACUUAACGGCUUCCCUGCAGCACUGCAUUGGCCACAAGCCAAUGCUUCACUGAGUUUGCAUAGUUUACAGCUGGGACUACCCGGGUAUCUAAUCC
Molecule: ribosomal RNA, 191 nt
Filed under: uncultured archaeon
Lineage: Archaea
Description: partial 16S ribosomal RNA
Source: RNAcentral